Long non-coding RNA from Syngnathus typhle (broad-nosed pipefish), 249 nucleotides. RefSeq lists it as uncharacterized. The record is from RefSeq and is a predicted model, not a curated record. NCBI's taxonomy places the organism in Eukaryota, Metazoa, Chordata, Actinopteri, Syngnathiformes, Syngnathidae. The transcript is spliced from 3 exons.
CCACCAAGUAACCACUUCAGCAUCGUCUUGUAAACAUGCGUUUGGAUUUGGCCAACAGUAGCUUCUGUGCUAGCUGAUGGAACGCAAGAAGAGACCGUCUUGGUCAUUGGAGAGAAAUCGUGUGAGGCUUCAACUAGUUACGACAUUCACCACAACGAGGGCGGCCAUUUUGUCACUUGCUGUCGACUGAAAAUGACAUCACAGUUGCCAGGUGUCAACAACCAAUCACGGCUUAGCUUCAGAAAACUG